AAUCGUGUGACCAAGAUCAGCAUUGUUCACAUAUAACUUCAUUAAAGUAAGUAUGUUGACGCCUUGUUAGCAUCUUGUGUAUAAUUAAGUCGUUGAAAAGAGGCCAUCGGGUGGCGGCCCGAUGACCUCAACGCGGUUCAGAUGACUAUUUGGGUAAAAGCUAAUCCUUGCGGUUAGCUUUUUUGAUUAUCGCAUACGCUUUGGCGAUACUGGUAACCAGUAUGCUUAGCGCGAUGAUAAUCGACGCCACAUCCAGCGCGGCGAACCCCUUUCGUCUCCUAGUUUUGGCAUGGCUCUCGCCUCCGCGUCUCAAGAAUGUUGAGGGGUGUGUGCCAUCCAAUCCGCUAGACGAAGAAAACAGGGUAAUUAGUCCUCUCUCUAAGCCUAAGGUCAGUCUAUAGAUUUAAAUGUAUGUGGUCAAUAAGUAUUCUUUGAUUGAAGGUUGCGGUUGCUGGCUUUCUUAAAAAACGAAAAAUUGUUUUGGUUAAAUUUUGUUCAGUGCCGAUUUAUUUAUAUGUCGCUUCUUGCAAAACAAAGAAAAAGCCACGAAUCGUGCAAUUAGUUUAGAUUGCAUGAUUCGUGGCUUUUUGUAUUUAAAAAACAUCACUCGGCAACCUCACCAAGCAAAAUCUUCCAUAUCCUCGGCAUUCAGAAUUCUUACCUGCUUACCUGAACGUUCAAUGAGUUUUUCCUCGGCGAGUCGUUUCAAAGUGCGCGAGACCGUUUCCGGCGUUGUUCCGAGAUAAUCGGCCAAUUGUGUCCAUGCCAUCGGAACUGUGACGGUGUCCUGGCCCGCCGCGGUACGCAAGUCCAGUAGGUAGUGGGUGAGCCGAACGUUGAUCGAAUCGUUACCCAAAUAGCCGGCCUGUUUUUCCAGCGCCUGCAUUUUACGGGCGUUUUCAGUCAGGAGUUGGAGACUGAUUUGCGGCUGCUUGAGAAGCAAUUGUUGAAAGUCAGUGGCACUGAUGGUGCAGACAGUUGCCGCCGUCAGGGUUUCGGUAUAGACAUUCGGAUUAGCGAUAUUGAGUAAGCCGGCUUCACCUUCAUAAUCACCAACACCAUCAACCCGUAGUAGCUGUUCCUUGCCAUUGGUGGCCAACUGGUAAGUUUUGAGUUUGCCGUGCGCAACCACCAACAAAUGGGCGGCCGUAUCAGGGCUGAUCAAAACAGUUCCUUUUUCAACCUGGCGUUCGUGCGUCAACGCGUCAAUGGCGGCACGCGCCUCAUCGUUUAAAUUUUUGAAUAACGGCACUACCGCCGUACAACUGUGCGUCAUGUUGCCACCUCCUAAACGCGUUCGCAGGCGCAGAAACCUGCACAUAAGGACCUUGAACCUAAAUGGCCAAAGCCCAGCCAUUUAGGUUCAAGGCCGCUUAUGCUCCGGUUUCUAAACGCGCCUGCUCACGCUCUGUCAACAAGCUUGAUCAAUCGUCAUCUUCAUCCUCGUCAAGCAAUGCCCGCCCCGCCGUCACUUGGCGGCCAAGUCGAGUUUGCAAGCGCAGAAUGCUUUGUUCAUGCCAGCGCUGCAAUUGUAACAUAUCUGCUGCCAACACAGCUUUGUUCUCCUU
This 1568-nucleotide ribosomal RNA is filed under the name Lacticaseibacillus paracasei. RNAcentral describes it as "Lactobacillus paracasei 16S ribosomal RNA". Lineage: Bacteria; Bacillati; Bacillota; Bacilli; Lactobacillales; Lactobacillaceae. The record is from RNAcentral.